UGUUAAAAACUUUAUUCAUUUCUACUGUUAAAACUAGCAUAACUAACAGAAUAAUCAAAUAGUGAAAUAUGGCAUGCCACAAGUACUUCAUGUUGACAUACAGAGACCAAUUAUUAACAGUAGAAAUUGAUGAAAUUUUUAAUA
Gossypium raimondii (Peruvian cotton) is the source of this 144-nucleotide non-coding RNA. Lineage: Eukaryota; Viridiplantae; Streptophyta; Magnoliopsida; Malvales; Malvaceae. The record is from Rfam.